ACCCGCUGAACUUAAGCAUAUCAAUAAGCGGAGGAAAAGAAACCAACAGGGAUUGCCUCAGUAACGGCGAGUGAAGCGGCAACAGCUCAGAUUUGAAAUCUGGCUCCGUGUCUUGGGGCCCGAGUUGUAGUCUGCAGAGGAUGCUUCCAGGUGGCGCUGGGACCCCAAGUCCUGUGGAAUCAGGGCGCCAGAGAGGGUGAGAGCCCCGUCUAGGGUCCCAGGUUGCUGCUGCUCUGUGUAGCUCCUUCGACGAGUCGAGUUGUUUGGGAAUGCAGCUCUAAAUGGGUGGUAAAUCUCAUCUAAAGCUAAAUACCGGCCAGAGACCGAUAGCGCACAAGUAGAGUGAUCGAAAGAUGAAAAGCACUUUGAAAAGAGAGUCAAACAGCACGUGAAAUUGUUGAAAGGGAAGCGCUAGCAACUAGACUUGGCCUGUGGCUGUUUCUAUGGCGGUGGGGGCCUGCAAUUCCUUGCGGCCCUCCCGCCUUCAGUCUGCAGGCUGGGCCAGCAUCAGCGCAGUCGGGCAGCAGUAAGCGCCAGUGUGGAAUGUGGCUCCCCUCGGGGAGCGUUAUAGCCCACUGUGCCUGCCGCUGCCACGCUGUGCUGAGGAUCAUGCCCAGGGCCUCGUGCCCGGGGCUUGGAUGCUUGGCGUAAUGGUUGC
This 658-nucleotide ribosomal RNA is filed under the name uncultured fungus. RNAcentral's name for it is "eukaryotic LSU rRNA". It matches the Rfam family "Eukaryotic large subunit ribosomal RNA", at positions 23 to 641 of the family's 3401-position model. The record is from RNAcentral. Lineage: Eukaryota; Fungi.